UAAGACGAAGGUGGCUAGCGUUGUUCGGUGUUACUGGGCUUAAAGAGUGUGUAGGCCGAAAAGUAAGCGCCCUGUGAAAGCCCCCGGCUUAACCGGGGAAUUGCUUGGCGAACUGCUUUUCUUGAGGCAAGUAGGGGUGCAUGGAACUCUUGGUGGAGCGGUGGAAUGCGUAGAUAUCAAGAGGAACGCCGGCGGUGAAAACGGUGUACUGGGCUUGUCCUGACGCUGAGACACGAAAGCGUGGGGAGCGAACGGGAUUAGAUACCCCGGUAGUCCACGCUGUAAACGAUGUCUACUAGGUUGUGGAAGUUCUGACGCUGCCACAGCCGAAGCAAAAGUGUUAAGUAGACCGCCUGGGGAGUACGGUCGCAAGGCUA
RNAcentral lists this ribosomal RNA (377 nucleotides) under uncultured bacterium. RNAcentral describes it as "bacterial SSU rRNA". It matches the Rfam family "Bacterial small subunit ribosomal RNA", at positions 521 to 896 of the family's 1533-position model. The record is from RNAcentral.